RNAcentral lists this ribosomal RNA (475 nucleotides) under uncultured bacterium. Its description in RNAcentral is "partial 16S ribosomal RNA". It matches the Rfam family "Bacterial small subunit ribosomal RNA", at positions 355 to 824 of the family's 1533-position model. The record is from RNAcentral.
UGAGGAAUAUUGGACAAUGGGUGGAAGCCUGAUCCAGCCAUCCCGCGUGAAGGAAUAAGGGCCUAUGGCUUGUAAACUUCUUUUGUACAGGGAUAAACCUACCCUCGUGAGGGUAGCUGAAGGUACUGUACGAAUAAGCACCGGCUAACUCCGUGCCAGCAGCCGCGGCAAUACGGAGGGUGCAAGCGUUAUCCGGAUUUAUUGGGUUUAAAGGGUCCGUAGGCGGGCUUGUAAGUCAGUGGUGAAAGCCGGCAGCUUAACUGUCGAACUGCCAUUGAUACUGUAAGCCUUGAGUAUAUUUUGAGGUAGCUGGGAAUAAGUAGUGUAGCGGUGAAAUGCGUAGAUAUUACUUAGAACACCAAUUGCGAAGGCAGGUUACCAAGUUAUAACUGACGCUGAUGGACGAAAAGCGUGGGGAGCGAACAGGAUUAGAUACCCUGGUAGUCCACGCUGUAAACGAUGCUAACUCGUUUUU